This 484-nucleotide ribosomal RNA is filed under the name uncultured bacterium. RNAcentral's name for it is "partial 16S ribosomal RNA". It matches the Rfam family "Bacterial small subunit ribosomal RNA", at positions 28 to 507 of the family's 1533-position model. The record is from RNAcentral.
GUUGAACGCUGGCGGCAGGCCUAACACAUGCAAGUCGAGCGGAUGAAGGGAGCUUGCUCCUGGAUUCAGCGGCGGACGGGUGAGUAAUGCCUAGGAAUCUGCCUGGUAGUGGGGGAUAACGUCCGGAAACGGGCGCUAAUACCGCAUACGUCCUGAGGGAGAAGGGGGGGGAUCUUCGGACCUCACGCUAUCAGAUGAGCCUAGGUCGGAUUAGCUAGUUGGUGGGGUAAAGGCCUACCAAGGCGACGAUCCGUAACUGGUCUGAGAGGAUGAUCAGUCACACUGGAACUGAGACACGGUCCAGACUCCUACGGGAGGCAGCAGUGGGGAAUAUUGGACAAUGGGCGAAAGCCUGAUCCAGCCAUGCCGCGUGUGUGAAGAAGGUCUUCGGAUUGUAAAGCACUUUAAGUUGGGAGGAAGGGAAGUAAGUUAAUACCUUGCUGUUUUGACGUUACCAACAGAAUAAGCCCCGGCUAACUUCGUG